UACGUAGGUGACAAGCGUUGUCCGGAUUUACUGGGCGUAAAGAGCGCGCAGGCGGUCGAUCAAGUCGAGUGUGAAAGCCCCCGGCUCAACUGGGGAGGGUCAUUCGAAACUGAUCGACUUGAAGGCAGGAGAGGGUAGUGGAAUUCCCGGUGUAGUGGUGAAAUGCGUAGAUAUCGGGAGGAACACCAGUGGCGACGGCGACUACCUGGCCUGUGAUUGACGCUGAGGCGCUAAAGCUAGGGGAGCCAACGGG
Molecule: ribosomal RNA, 253 nt
Filed under: uncultured bacterium
Lineage: Bacteria
Description: partial 16S ribosomal RNA
Rfam family: Bacterial small subunit ribosomal RNA
Source: RNAcentral